GCAGAAAGCAGACCCAAAUUGUUCUAAAUUAGCUUCCACUCUGAUCCGCUGUCUCACACCUCUUUGGUGUCAAGCUCAUUUUAGGUAGUGCUAGAAAUCACAAAGAGGAAAAGAGGGGACAUAUACCUUUUGUUAGAGCAUCACGGGGCCAUGGCUCACAGCUUGACUGGUGUCAGUCACCCUGUGCCACCCUGCUCCUGCCCUAGGAUAAGCAGAAAGUCUUAUCCUGCCCUGCUUAGGGAGAAGAGGUCUUUUUGUUAUUUUCUGGUAGGAAAAUUCUAUUUAUAACUGAUAGUCCCAUCAGGAAAUGGUCAGGAACAAAUCAAAGACUCAGGAACAAGUCGUUUUCUAUUCUUAUAUUUUACUGCUUUAAGCUCCACUAAGGACAAUGAAGCUGCCAUAGGUUUAGGCAGCAAAGCUGAAAUCCAGCUGAAAUGGGGCCUUAAUAAUGCACAGUGGGGCACUGAUCCAAGGUUUCAGUCCUGGAUCACUUUGCAGUGAAAACUUAGGAGAAGGAUGGCUCUUCACAGGUUCUCUCUGAAGGGACAAAGUGGAUCUAUGCAAUAAAAAAUCACAGUUUCUUCUCCAUUAUUGUUAUGAGUGGGAACCUUCCAAAGAAAUCUCCACUCAGAAAACACUCAUCUUUCAAAAGCACGCGAUUCCCAGAACAGAUACCUAUCAGUGAAACUUUGGAAGGGUGAGUUUCCCAAGCUACCGAUGUUGCAAAGUAAGAAAAAGAUAUGUGGAUAACAACUCCUGUUAACUAAGCAAUAACACAUGUAAGACACCUGGCUUGGAUGCACAAGAACUUUAUUUAAGACCCUUCUGUGUGUUGUGAGAUGUCACAGAAUCACGGAAUCAUUAAGCUUGGAAAAGACCACUGAGAUCACCAAGUCCAACCCCAACCCACCCCACUGUGCCCACUGAACAUGUCCCUCAGUGCCACAUCUCCUCAGUUCUUGAACACCUCCAAGGACAGUGACUCCACUGCCUCGCUGUGCCAGUGCAUUUCCACUCUUUUGGAGAAGAAACUUUUCCUAAUGUACAGCCAGAACCUCUCCAGCAGAGGAGAUUUCACUGUGUCUGCUCAUCAGUGAAUUGCCCUUUGUAAGACUCAUAUCCUGACCAACUUGCUGCAGCUCUGCUUCCAAACAGUCCACUCUGGGAGAGAGAUUUGUCCUCCACAAACACUGCUUUAUGCCUUAGCAAGAUCAGUUUGCAGCUGCUCUUGACCCUUGAUGUCCAAUCUAGCAGUGCACACCUGGUCCAAACUAUUGGGAAGGUCUGUGCUCCUUUGGCUGCUGAUCCGCAGUGAGGGUGCACCUCAUUAUCUCACAUGAUGGAGAUCUUUCUGACCUUCAUUUCUUACACCUCUGCACCCAGGGUACAUUGUGCCAACAUCUCCCCCUUGGUGCCUUCUUGACUGACUUCGAUGCAUGUUUAAUUUCUUGCUGCCCAAAUUAAUUUUGCUGCUUGUAAUGUGUUUCUACCAAGUUUAACGAAGCUCUCCCAAGACUCCUAAUCUUGAUGACCUUUCUAAGAACAAAUACAAGCCAACGUGUUUCCCCAGGCAGAUUUUCCUAAUUUCUUACAGCUCUGUUGCCAACACAUUCCGACUUCCAUCUAAUUUCUUUUGGAUACGAUGACUCCUCCCCUAACUCCAGAGAGAGUAAUCAAUAUCAGGAGGAAAAACAACCAUUUUGGCUGCUUGCUGGGAAGUAGUUUGUCCUGUUUAAGGAAACUCUGGAGAGAGUCUAUUAGGCACAAACCAGAGGCAUGAGCUGACAACUCACGUCUACUUUUUUCUUCAUGCUGAUGCUUUCAAAGUCUACAUCAACCACUAGAAUCUCCAUUGGGUUACUUCUCACCUGACCACUGAGAUUUCUACUGAGCACCAUAAUCCUUUCCCCCUUGUUUUUUCCUUGCUGUCAUGUAAUUAUACUUUUUGCAGCCACAGAAAGUUGAAACUGGUGAGGCCCUGGCACAAGCUACCCAGAUAAGUUGUGGAUGACGCAACCCAAGAGGUGUUCAAGGCCAGGUUGGAUGGGGCCCUGGGAACCCUCAUUUAGUGUCUCAUGUAGUGGCUGGUAAGCCUGCCCAUAGCAGAGGGUUGGAACUAGAUGAUCUUUGAGGUCCUUUCCAACACAAUCCAUUCUAUGAUUCAAUGAUUCUAUGACAGCACUGGGAUAUGAGCAACUGAGGCAUUGGCUGCAGCUCAGGUCUUCAGAGAGAUUCUCCUGUUGAAAGCAGCUUUUAAGAGGUAGUCAAGAUGACUUGCCAAAGGUGACCCAGAACACAUGUAGCACUGUGAGAAGUGAACUCAGGUCUGCUAAAUCUCACACCAGAGCCCUAAGCAGAGGAUUAUCUGUGGUUUCUUCUGUAACAGUGGAAUAGAGGAAAGAUAGGGAUUUCCAGGAACAAAAAAAAAAAAACACAUCUUCAAACCUCUUUAAAGGCCAUGGACUUAAAUCCUUCUUGUGCUAUAAGUGUACUGCAGAAUCAAUGUAAGCAGGGGAAAAACAAGAGUUAUCUUCAGUUCAGAUUAGCUUGCAAUCAACACUUUUUUUUUUUAAUGCUCUUUCUUUUUUUACUUUUAUUUUGAGGACAUUUAAAGAACAGUGAAGACUCAAAACUGUUCACAGGGUCUGGGUUUCUGGCACUGCUGAAGGUUCUGCAAGGUAGCAACGUCUCUGUAUUCAGAUGACUUGCUAACUCUGUCAUAGCCCUGGUAGAACACUAUUUAAAAAAGUUAUUUCUGAUGACAUAUUCCAAUGCAAUGGAGAUUCCUAUGUAUGUUAAUUUGCUUUGAGGAUUGCAUCAUCUCAAAGGAAGUAUAGCCAAAGAGAUUUAAAACAAAAGUGGUCUGUCUCCAGGUUGAGCUGUGAUACUUGGCAGUAAUACUGCUCUCCACUGAGUCCAAUGUGCUGCUUUAACAUAAUGCUCUCCUUCCCAUUGUGUCAUGCUGGAAGGAUGGCAUUUCUUGUCUCCCGAUCCCUAAAAGAUACUAGAUGAGAUAUUUAAGCUACCAAUGUCCUUGAAUGAGGUUAUUAGUCCAUGUAGAACCUUGUACUGUGAGCAUUAUGAGGAUUUUGGGGGGACUGUUCAGGAAGCAAAAUGCUGAAAUGAAACCUCUCAUUACUGAAGUAAGUGUCGUGGAAACCUACUUACAACUUGGUUGUAGGACACGCAUAUUUAUCCCUAUUACUGUCCCAGCAUUUUAUCAACUAGUGUCUUAUGUUGAAUUGAGAGAGUGGGAUGCUCGGGAUGAGAAAGGAUUUCUUUGCCCAUCUCCAGGUUUCACACCAUGAACACAAUGCUAAGACACUAAAUUUCAUGCCCCAAAGCUGACGGAUGUCCCUUGCUGCCUGAAAGGGACAUUUCUGUGUAUUGUCCAUGACAAUUUUUGGAUAAACACCACUGAUGAGUUCCUGCCCACUGCUGAAUUUCCUGAGAGAGCUGUGCUGAAGGCUUCCCUUCCAACCACAGGGACGUGUCUACAAGGAGUGACAGCCUGCUCAACACUAUCCCUUCAGGCAGAUGAAGGCCAUUUAUUACUGUUCAUCGUAUUUCACGAGAACCUAGGAGCCUCCACCAGUUUUAGAGGGCCUUGCUCAAGACUCAGAAGUGCAGAACAGAUAAAAUUGGAGGAAUGCUAUUACCUAAGCUUUCAAAUAAUGCAUUAUCUUUUUCAAUUUUGUGAAAUGUAUACCUUUUGGUUUAAACUAAAUCAUGUUUUUAUUCAUGUUAUCUGGCCAAAAUAAAGAACCUCAGAUGUUAUUUUAUAUGCCUUGGAACAUUCUGUCCAACCUGGAGGAAAGGAUUUUGUUUGGUCAUAGGAAAUAAAGAGCUCAAAGACUAGCAGAUUUCCUAAACGAAAGGCAUAUCAGAAGACUUGCAGAGGAUGUUGAAGACCCAAAUUUAUCCGCUGCUUCAGCCUGAGAAAACCUGCAUCUCUUUGGCACCAUUCCACUCUAUGCAAUUAAAGGCUUAUGGGAGCAGAGGUGGGUUUGGGUAGACCACCUUCUGAAAUGUGUGCCCUGGAUGCCUACAAGCAGAUUCAGUGAUCAGAGCAGACCAACUCCAACACAAUAAGCUCAGAGAUACCUGUCUGAGCUGCAGAGACUAUGGAGCCAGCAUGAAUAAGAAGCCCAAAUUUGCACAUAAAUUCAGGCUGAUGAAAAUGAAUUUUUAGCCUAUUUACUGGUUGUCAAAAAAGCUGCGUUGGAGCUCUGGUUAUUAUUUCCACUUUAUGGACAGAGGGGUAUAUGGAGUGUGAAGAACCACGAAGAGACUUUGAGCCUGGAUCUGCGGUUCCACAGUCCUGCUGAAAUGAACUGGAAAUCUUAGUGCUGUUAGGAUAGGGACAGCUUACACACGAGAUGCUUUUCCCAACCCAGGGCAAGAAGCAGAAAUCAGAAUUUUCUGAAGUGACUGAUCAGCUCUGGCACUGUGCAGCAAACUAAUCACAAUUUAUGCUGCGCCUUUGUCAUCGU
Gallus gallus (chicken) is the source of this 4493-nucleotide long non-coding RNA. Lineage: Eukaryota; Metazoa; Chordata; Aves; Galliformes; Phasianidae. The record is from Ensembl.